UACGAAGGGUGCAAGCGUUACUCGGAAUUACUGGGCGUAAAGGCGUGCGCAGGCGGUUUGGUAAGACAGAUGUGAAAUCCCCGGGCUUAACCUGGGAAUUGCAUUUGUGACUGCCCGGCUAGAGUGUGUCAGAGGGAUGCAGAAUUCCAGGUGUAGCGGUGAAAAUGCGUAGAUAUCUGGAGGAAUACCGGUGGCGAAGGCGGCAUCCUGGACCGACAUUGACGCUGAUGAGCGAAAGCUAGGGGAGCAACGGG
This 254-nucleotide ribosomal RNA is filed under the name uncultured bacterium. RNAcentral describes it as "partial 16S ribosomal RNA". It matches the Rfam family "Bacterial small subunit ribosomal RNA", at positions 524 to 775 of the family's 1533-position model. The record is from RNAcentral.